RNAcentral lists this ribosomal RNA (496 nucleotides) under uncultured Glomus. RNAcentral describes it as "SSU rRNA". It matches the Rfam family "Eukaryotic small subunit ribosomal RNA", at positions 569 to 1070 of the family's 1831-position model. The record is from RNAcentral. Lineage: Eukaryota; Fungi; Glomeromycota; Glomeromycetes; Glomerales; Glomeraceae.
AGCAGCCGCGGUAAUUCCAGCUCCAAUAGCGUAUAUUAAAGUUGUUGCAGUUAAAAAGCUCGUAGUUGAAUUUCGAGAUCAAUUUGUUGGUCGUGCCUCGGUACGUACUGGCAAUUUUGAUUUCUCCCUUCUGAAGAACCAUGAUGUCAUUAAUUUGGUGUCAUGGGGAAUCAGGACCGUUACUUUGAAAAAAUUAGAGUGUUUAAAGCAGGCUCGCGCUUGAAUACAUUAGCAUGGAAUAAUGAAAUAGGACGUUUGAUUCUAUUUUGUUGGUUUCUAGGAUCGACGUAAUGAUUAAUAGGGAUAGUUGGGGGCAUUAGUAUUCAAUUGUCAGAGGUGAAAUUCUUGGAUUUAUUGAAGACUAACUACUGCGAAAGCAUUUGCCAAGGAUGUUUUCAUUAAUCAAGAACGAAAGUUAGGGGAUCGAAGACGAUCAGAUACCGUCGUAGUCUUAACCAUAAACUAUGCCGACUAGGGAUCGGAUGAUGUUAAUUUU